RNAcentral lists this ribosomal RNA (253 nucleotides) under uncultured bacterium. RNAcentral's name for it is "partial 16S ribosomal RNA". It matches the Rfam family "Bacterial small subunit ribosomal RNA", at positions 524 to 776 of the family's 1533-position model. The record is from RNAcentral.
UACGAAGGGGGCUAGCGUUGCUCGGAAUUACUGGGCGUAAAGGGCGCGUAGGCGGACUGUUUAGUCAGAGGUGAAAGCCCAGGGCUCAACCUUGGAACAGCCUUUGAUACUGGCAGUCUUGAGUACGGGAGAGGUGAGUGGAACUCCGAGUGUAGAGGUGAAAUUCGUAGAUAUUCGGAAGAACACCAGUGGCGAAGGCGACUCACUGGCCCGUUACUGACGCUGAGGCGCGAAAGCGUGGGGAGCAAACGGG